This 267-nucleotide long non-coding RNA is filed under the name Chinchilla lanigera (long-tailed chinchilla). RNAcentral describes it as "lncRNA (ENSCLAG00000026504.1)". Lineage: Eukaryota; Metazoa; Chordata; Mammalia; Rodentia; Chinchillidae. The record is from RNAcentral.
GCUCUCUGUGAGGACCAUGGUGUUAAUGAAGGAGUAAUCCUCGGCGGGAUUUGAACCUAGGGCCUCACAAGUGUUAGGCAGCAGUGUAAGUUCUGAUUUGCAACUGAGAGAAGGAGCACAAAUCUGUAUAAAGACACUACUGGGCCAGAGAUAUUGCUCAGCAGCACAAGAGCCUGCCUGGCAAGCACAAGGUCCUAAGUUCAAUUCCUGAUACCACAAAAAAAAAAAGGUUUCUAGGCGCUGGGAGGCCCAGGGGACGGGCGGGGC